Molecule: RNA transcript, 4955 nt
Organism: Brassica napus (rape)
Lineage: Eukaryota; Viridiplantae; Streptophyta; Magnoliopsida; Brassicales; Brassicaceae
Exons: 13
Source: RefSeq, a predicted model, not a curated record
GAGACGAUUGAACAACAAACAUUUAUAAUUUUAUGGUUUUCUUUCUUUCUCUCUAUCUCUCUCUCUUCUCCCUGUCUUUUCGAUUGGUUUGUGUCAAAGUAAAUAAAUUGAUAAAGCCUGGAAUCGAAACUUGUUCGUUCGAUAGCGGAACCAACCCUAAUUAAUGGAUCGAUUAGAAGAAACCCUAAUUUCAGAAGAGGAGGAGGAAGAAGAAGAUGUCGAUUUCAAUCCUCUUCUAAAGGAAACCCCUUCCCGUGAAGCUUCUUCCAGUUUGAGCUCUGAUGUCGAAACUCUCGACGCUGAACCUGUCAAUAGCAUUGCGCCAAGCUUAGACGGCGGCGUCAGGGAAGAAGCAGCUAAGGAGGAAAUCGCGGCGGUGCAAGUCGAAUCAAUCCCCAACGUCUCUCCCCCGCAAGGCUCGAAGGAGGAGGAAGAAGAUGACGCAAUCUGCAAGCGAACCAGAGCUCGGUACUCCCUCGAGAGUUUCACUCUUGACGAUCUCGAGGCUUUCCUUCAGGAGACUGAUGACGAGGACGACAUUCCAAACGUUGAUGAUCAGGAGGAGUACCGCAAGUUUCUCGCCGCCGUUUUACACAGUGGAGACGCCCCCGAGGUUCACUCGGUGCACGAUGAUGACGAGGAUAACGACCUAGACUUCGAGAUUGAGCUCGAGGAAGCGCUGGAGACUGAUGACGACGAACCUAUACCUGAAAAGACCACAGCUGAUGGCGUCACCAAGCAGCGGCGUGUGACUAGGCAGAAGAGAAAACAAAGCAUCUCUAGAAUCGAUGAUUCUCCUGAGCAGGCUGCGAGAUUGUUACGCCCUAUCUUGCCAGUCGUACAGCCUGUGAGGAUGUUGCUUCCUGCUGCUCCUGAAUCGCUUGCUUCUUCGUCGGUUAACAGCAAAGGAAUUGGCUUCACUCAAUCCCAAAUUGGAGAGUUGCAUUGUUUGAUCCAAGACCACCUUCAGCUUCUCAUCCAGGUUUACUCUCUUUGUGCACUUGAUUAUUCACGCCAACAGAUUGGCACCCAGGUUCAAGGACUUAUCUCUGAGAUGAUCCAACAACACCAAGGAUAUGUUUCACGCCAAAGUCAUCUUCUUGUCUCUCGUUCCGCAUCAUCUGUGAUGAAUACUGUGAAUCUAGCUGGCAGAUAUCUAGCUGAUGUUUCUACCGCUGUUCAAGAUUAUCGAAGGUGUCAAGUGGAAUCCGGUUUUGAUGCUUUGUCUCAAAGAAUGCCAUUGUUUCCACUUCCUCUCCAGCACAUCAACAAUCCUCCUUCUAUGUCAUUAUCACAUCAGCAGCAGUGUAAGAAGACGUUAGCUGCUACAAUCGUUGAAUCGGCCAAAAAGGAAUCUGUUGCCUUGGUCCAUAAGGAUAUCGCCAAGUUAGCUAAAACAUUCCUGCCCUUGUUCAAAGUAUCGCUAUAUCCCCACAAGCCACCUGCUGCAGCUGUUAGCAAUCGGUUCCUUUUCACUGACGCUGAGGAUGAAUUAUUGGCUCUUGGAAUUAUGGAAUAUAACUCAGACUGGAAGGCAAUAAAGCAGCGCUUUCUUCCAUGUAAAGGCGAGCAUCAGAUUCAUAUUCGGCAAAAAAACCGGAGAUCAUCUAAAGCGCCAGAUAAUCCAAUUAAGGCAGUUUUGAGGAUGAAAAGCUCUCCCCUGACCCCGCAAGAGAUAGAACGUAUAGAAGAGGGACUUAGGUACUUCAAAUUUGAUUGGAUUUCGGUGUGGAAAUUCAUUGUGCCUUAUCGAGACCCAUCCACACUGCCAAGGCAAUGGCGCACUGCCCUUGGAAUCCAGAAGUCGUAUAAGCUCGAUGAUGUCAAAAAGGAGAAGCGGCGAUUAUCUGAUUCAAAGAAAAGAAUGUCCAGAGAGCAGCCGGCAUCUACAAAAGAGGACCGUCAUGGUGCUUCUAAGGCCAAUGAAAAUCAUGUUGGACAUGAAUUGGUGGAAAAUUCAGGUGACACAUACCUUCAUGAAGGAUUUUUAGCAGACUGGAGGCCUGGCAUGCCAACUCUCUUUUGUUCUACAUCCAUGCACUCCUUUGGCAAUGCAAAGAAUGUUCCCCGCAAUCAGCCAGUACAAAUAUGUACUGGUGAAGGGUCUAAAACUGCGCAAAUUCUCACAGAUACGCGGAUGCUGGCACCCGGUACCUCAAGAGCACCGAUAAUUAUGCAUUCAUAUCAUCGUGCUCGUAAACUACGCAACAGAAGUGUAGUAAGACUAGCCCCUGAUUUACCUCCACUUAACCUUCCAUCUUCGGUACGUGUUAUCUCACAGUCUGCUUUUGCGAAGAAUCAGUCUGUAACAUCCUCCAAAAUUUGUACGACUAAAGGUGGCAUGUCUAGUGAUUCUGGGAAGGGAGUUUUGGCUACGGAGCCUCCUUGCCUCUCAGCUGACGGAGAUAGCAAUGCCCCCCCUAGCGAGAAAGAUUUGCCUGCAGAGAGCUCCUCUGGGAUGGGCGAGACAGACAAUGACUCAGAUCUUCAAAUGCAUCCUUUAUUGUUCCGGACCCCUGAGCAUGGACAAAUUUCAUGUUACCCUUCAAACAGAGACAAAGGAGGUUCUAGUGCCUUUAGUUUCUUUUCUGACAAUCGACCUCAGCUGCUGAGUCUUUUCAGCAGUCCGAGGCAGAUCAAUCACUCAGCUGAUCAGUUUCAGAAAAAAGCAUCAUCAAAUGAUCACGAGCCAGCACUGGGGGACAGCUGUUUUCAUCCUCUUCUUCAAAGAACUGAGGGUGAGACGAGUUACCUUACUAGUGGGCGUGGGAACUUAGACACAAAUAUUGGCAAGAAACGCAAAUUAUGUCAGGAUACUUCUAGUGCUGUUGAGAAGACUUGUAUCCCUGGUACUGCUCGUAAUGAUGUCAUCCUGAAAUCUGUCAGUUCUAACAAACAUGAUAAAAAUGUGAACUCAGAUAUCAAUCUAAGUCCGAGAUCUUCUAAAGUAAGAGAUCGUGGUAGUGUCUCAGCAGCAAAUAUUUCAGAAUUUGCAGACAAUUCUAUGAAUCAACGUGAAGAUGGCGCUGAAAUGCCUGGAUCAACUGCUACUAGUGAUAGAUGCAUUGACGAGAUGGGUGAUCAAUCUAAUCUAGGUAUAGUGAUGGAACAGGAGGAAUUAAGUGAUUCUGACGAAGAGACGAUGGAAGAAGAACAUGUCGAGUUUGAGUGUGAAGAGAUGGCCGACUCAGAAGGGGAAGAGGGCUCUGAGUGCGAAGAAAUCAUUGAAAUGCAAGAUAAGGAUUACAGAAGCUCUGCAGUAGAAGUGGCUUCAACAGAUGUCGGUUCUGGCAAAGAACUAGGCAGAGAUUCUCCAAGCAGUCCUUGGUUAAGUCUAGAUCCCAGUAGCCGUCCCUCAUGUAGUAAGGUUAGGGACACAGGGAAGAAAGAACCCGCAGAUAAAACGAACAUGACACAAUUUGGUUCUAGUAGAUCACGCAGAAAGAGGACACCAAUAAAGAGCAGAGAUGCAGAAUCAAAGGAAGACGUAGGUGUUGCUCGGUUGAGACUGGGUCCUCUUUCGCCCUCCCUUCAGUGAAGAAACCAAGGAAGUGUGUCGAAGAGGCAGAAACAAGUCCAAGUGUAUUGCAUGUCAAGCAAGUAGUUGGUGGCAACACGACAGCCUUACAAUGUGUUCUUAACACUGAUAUUGAAACAGCCAUGCUGUUGGAAGAAGAAACUCAAAUACCGGCCAAGCAGGAUUACAGAAGCUCUGCAGUAGAAGUGGCUUCAACAGAUGUCGGUUCUGGCAAAGAACUAGGCAGAGAUUCUCCAAGCAGUCCUUGGUUAAGUCUAGAUCCCAGUAUCCGUCCCUCAUGUAGUAAGGUUAGGGACACAGGGAAGAAAGAACCCGCAGAUAAAACGAACAUGACACAAUUUGGUUCUAGUAGAUCACGCAGAAAGAGGACACCAAUAAAGAGCAGAGAUGCAGAAUCAAAGGAAGACGUAGGUGUUGCUCGGUCGAGACUGGGUCCUCUUUCGCCCUCCCUUCAGUGAAGAAACCAAGGAAGUGUGUCGAAGAGGCAGAAACAAGUCCAAGUGUAUUGCAUGUCAAGCAAGUAGUUGGUGGCAACACGACAGCCUUACAAUGUGUUCUUAACACUGAUAUUGAAACAGCCAUGCUGUUGGAAGAAGAAACUCAAAUACCGGCCAAGCAGAGAGAUGGAAUCCACAACUUAGGAUGAAACGCCUACCCAAGAUACAGCUGAAGGAGAUCUGAUGUCACAAAGGCUUGAAGAAAUAUACAAAAGGCUUGAUGCGAUUGAUGCUUAUACUGCUGAGGCUCGGGCAGUUAGUAUCCAUCCUUGCUGGGCUCAGUUUCACUCCAGAAAUGCAGAAGAAAUCUACAAAUAGAGGACGGAGGAUGUGAAUUUGUUGUUGUUUGAUGAACCUACGGUGUGUUUGCUUUAUGAGCUUCUCCAGUUAGCAAAAUCUGUUUUCAGCUUAGAUUUCAAAUUUCUGAGAUUCCUUUCCUCUGUAUUGGAAGAACCAUCUUGAGAUUCCAAGCCUGCCAGCAGUGGUGCUCAUGUGGAGCAAGUUAUUAAGGAUCCUGAGAAAGCGAAUCCCUCUUAUAGAUAUAUUGAAUGCUGCUAUAGUCUCUGCUAUAAAGUUCCACCCUCGAGAGUUUAACCGAGAAGAAAUCGUCAUAAAUAUUGAAUUCCCAACUGCUGACUAUCAGUUUCAGUGAUGCAUCUUCUGUAUACCCUGGUGGUCCGUUAUCGUUUAGGAACUUGAAUUUCAGAAUAGAUCUGGGUAGCCGUAUUGCAAGUACCAAGGCUCCCCCCCCUCCCUAGAUUAUGAGAUUUCAGAGAUGAUAACCCUUAAUUUCUGAGGGCAUUUUAAGCUUAUUGCAUCUCGCCAAAAACGCUUGCAAUAUCGAUAUCAACAUGUAUCAAACCAUUUCUUAAUGGGAAGAUACCAUUAUUAGUUGGUGCUAUAAAAUAACGAUUAUUAGA